ACCCAGGCUGGAGUGCAGUGGCCGGAUCUCAGCUCACUGCAAGCUCUUUUGAUUGUUCUUCAGUGCCUUCACGUAGUUAUUUAAAAAGUAUUUCCCAUGGUUUGUAGUUUUAUCUGCAGGAGAAUUAGUCCAAUAAGAGAUACUUGAUUGUCAUACUUAAGCAGCAAACAGUCUAGUUGCAGGGACAGGAGUCAAAUAUAGGGAGAAGCCAAAGAAUGACUUCAGAAGCAUAAUAUGAACAAAGGCAUGAUUCAUUCACGAAUUUAUUUAUACAACAAACAUUUUUUGAGCCUCUGCUGCAGGUAGGGUUCUUUUCAAGGCACAAGGUAACAUAAUGUUGAGUAUAGAUAGACAUUCUGUGGUCAUUCAAACUAAGAGAUCAUUUGCAACAAAUUGACUUCAGAGGAGAUUUGGAAAAAAAAACUCUAGUAAACCAGGAUUAGGCAUCUUCUGAGGGCAUAAAAAGUGUGUACAUUUUUACUUUCCUACAGGGUCCCCACCAGAUACAUACACAUGGCUAUUGAGUACUUGAAAUGUGGGUAGUCUGAAAUGAUCUGUGCUGUGGCAUCUGUGCUGUGCCUGUCAUUCAUCGAGAACAGUUUGUUUUCUGCUUAUGGAAUCACAAAAAUAUUUAAUCUGAAGCUUCAGUGGUGCAGCCAUCCUUUAGGCUGUAGACCACAGGAUCCUUCCUUCUCUGUCUGAAUGCACUGGAGGGCCAGGAUUCUUGGAGGUGGCCAGGGUCCUUUGAGAAGCCAAUGCCCAAGUGGUAUCUGAGUCCAGUGAACGGCAACCCCAUCUCUGAAUCCUUGACAACCUUGAAGGAUAAUCUUAAGACCAGAAGACCAUAAUAAAGUGAAACCAUAAGGGAAGAGCAGCUUGGAUCCCUGAAAUCCCUGAAUCGCUACUUGGAAGAGAGUUGUCUAGGAGAUCUAUGAACCCACAUAGAACUUGGGGUAUGCUGUGGACUGAGUUAUGUCUUCUAUAUUCAUGUGUUGAAACCCUAAUCUCCAGCUAACUGACUACUGUCUUUGGAGACAGGGUCUAUGUGGAGAUAGUUAAGGUGAAACGAGGCCAUAAGGUUAGUGCUCUUACCUCACAGGAUUAGUAAAAAGAGGCACUGGAGAGAUUUUCUCUCUUUCCACCCACUCCCCCAAGUGCACACCCUGAGUAAGGGCCCUGUGAAGACACA
Molecule: non-coding RNA, 1189 nt
Organism: Chlorocebus sabaeus (green monkey)
Lineage: Eukaryota; Metazoa; Chordata; Mammalia; Primates; Cercopithecidae
Source: RefSeq, a predicted model, not a curated record